GAUGAACGCUGGCGGCGUGCUUAACACAUGCAAGUCGAACGAAGCACUUUAUUACAAUUUCUUCGGAAUGACGAUUUAGUGACUGAGUGGCGGACGGGUGAGUAACGCGCGGGUAACCUGCCUUAUACAGGGGGAUAACAGUUAGAAAUGACUGCUAAUACCGCAUAAGCGCACAGGAUUGCAUGAUCUGGUGUGAAAAACUCCGGUGGUAUAAGAUGGACCCGCGUCUGAUUAGCUGGUUGGUGAGGUAACGGCCCACCAAGGCGACGAUCAGUAGCCGACCUGAGAGGGUGCCCGGCCACAUUGGGACUGAGACACGGCCCAAACUCCUACGGGAGGCAGCAGUGGGGAAUAUUGCACAAUGGGGGAAACCCUGAUGCAGCGACGCCGCGUGAGCGAAGAAGUAUUUCGGUAUGUAAAGCUCUAUCAGCAGGGAAGAAAAAAAUGACGGUACCUGACUAAGAAGCCCCGGCUAACUACGUGCCAGCAGCCG
Molecule: ribosomal RNA, 493 nt
Filed under: uncultured bacterium
Lineage: Bacteria
Description: bacterial SSU rRNA
Rfam family: Bacterial small subunit ribosomal RNA
Source: RNAcentral